AUUUGGGGAGAGGGGAGGGAGAGGAGGACAUAGAGGGAGUAAAUUUAGGUACUAUUAUCUUGUAAAAUGAUAACAUUAUGACUUCAUAAUUGAAAUCAUUUUGCAUAGUAAAAAAAUAUCAUAUGCCAGUUACCACCUGGCAGGACCCCAUGCCCUUCUUUCAUUACAUAAAGAAGGUAAUUUAAUUGAGAAAGUGUCGUAGAAAUAUAGAAGGGUGGCAAUGUGUAUAGUGGAUUAAUGCCUUGCCUUUUCGUCUCCAGGGGCCUGCCUUGAAAUUUGAUUUGGGCCACACGUGAAACAAGUUUGGUAGUCUCAACCAAAGCCGUAGUGAAAACUAAUCCACACAAAAAGCAUGCUACACAGCCUAGCACAGCUGGUAGUCUCUUUUCAACAGAGGUCCAAAGCUGAAAUACUGAGGCUGGUUUCCAGUCACAACAGAGGAGUAUUUGCAGAUUUAUGUGAGGAAUGUGACAUGCUGAGUGGGGCUGUGGGGAGCAUAAACUGCAAAAUGAAUCAUCGUUAUCUUCACCUGUCCUGUGGACUAGUUAAAUCCCUGAAUCACAGGUGGAGGAAUUUCUAUAAGCUGAUGAGGUACUGCAGAAUCAUAUUGUUUAUAUACACUUUACUUGCAUCACUGGUUUUGAUUAUAUUUAGACUUGAAGAAUUUUUAGUAACCAGGACAAUGCUGAAAAUUACUCUCUGCUACAUGUAAUGAAUCCAUCAUGGCAAAAGCUAUACAUGAAGUAGCCCAUUUUUGUCAUCAUCAUUACAGGGCAGACGUGUACUGAUGAGUGCAGAGCCCUUCUGACCUCAUGCUGAGCUAAGCUCCAGAUGCACAGAAGCCUCUCUUUAGACCAGACCAAGGGCCCCCGCCUGGAUGCCUGAGGGUUACACUGCUGGACACAUGGCAGUAUGCUCCUGGGCUUGGUCCAGACAAAGCUGUCAUCUUCACCAAAAUUUCUUGCUCUGCUUUUUCUACCAAGGCUCAGAAGCAAACGUGCUCUUUUGUCCAGCUGAGGACAACAACCAGCCACGCAUAUUUUAGGCUAAUUUAAAUGCUUUUUGGCAAAGCUAAUUCAGGUGGAAGCCCUUUCUGGAUUUCAUCCCUAUGCAUUUUGACCUCUGUAGAGACUGUGCUCCAUUGUCCGUAAGUGUGUCCAAACCCAGCAGACUAUCACUUCUGGAUCUUAAGGAAGGCACAAAUAGAAGUGAUUGAGACCUUCUGAAUUCAAGACGUGAAAGAGCAAGACUCUUUCUGCAGGCUAUAUGCUGUAGACAGGAUCAAUUCGUGCAGGAGCGGAGACAAAAUUGUACCUAAUUUUAAUUCAGUUAUGAUCACAGUCACCAAUCUUUUGAUAGAAACUGGUUCAUCAGAAAGGCAAGUUCUAAAGUAGAACAAAGGAACAGAGCACCACCGGUCUGAAGUUCUAGUUUCCAACUCUUUCAGUGUCUCUAUAAGAUCAGGAAAGUCAGGUAGCUUGUGUUAAAUGUUUGCUUACCAUUGUAAAGAAUAAGCAUACUGAGGAAUUUCUCCAAAUUUUCCAAAUGUGGAAGUGAUUUUCAUAGGUGUCAGAGGUCAACAGGCUAUUAUAAAACCAACAACAGAGAAAAGAGGAAAGUUAAAACUUUGGACAGCAUAAACGUACAGAAAACUUAUAUGGAAGUAUUUCGUCAUAAAACCUAGCCCAAGCAGACAGGAACGUUAGCAGUUGAAAUACUAUGCUAAAACAGAAGCAAGACAAAAUAUGCCAAAAUUCAGAAUGCACCACACACAGGCAUGGAUUUCUGAACCAUCCUCUCGUUCUUCUGCUUCUACUCCUUCUUCCAUCCUUUCACUAACAGCACUGCAAAAGUACUAGGCAAGACAGAAAGCUGACUUUCCUUUCACCAUUUUCCUUUUUCCCUCUGUGAAAGUGCAAGCUCUGUGUUUUUGUUUUUUUUUUUUGUUUUCAUGUGUGUGUUUGUUAGUUGUUGUUGUUUUUUUGUUUUGUUUAAGAAUACUUUCUGGUUUUGUUUGACACAAAAGUAAAAAAUUGAAGGAUUUUUUUCAUUGUGGUUUUCUAACAUUCUAGGACACAUCAAGUACUUAAUAGCAAAAUGCCUUCUGUUGGUACUCAGAGCACAAAGAGAAACAUUUCAAGGGAGCUACAUGGCUUCUACAAGAUGAAGACCCAUACGUGCCCCUCAGCCCAGUCCCCCAGUGCUUCUGCAGCCUCCUGUGGGCUGCUGGCCCAGCUGUGCAGACCACUUUAUAGCAGGAUUCAAAGCAAAGCAUUGUGCACAAAAUAUUUGCAUCCCCAUCUACAGGAAAGACACUUUUCCCUUCUCACAUAAGUCCAAAGGAAGGCCCAUACCAGUGGAAAAAGCUUGCCCUGAACCAUACACAGGGCAUAGGUGCACCACAGCACUGGUAGCUUGCACUUUAGUGGCAGGCUCUGUACGUGGAGAAAUAGGAAUGUGCCUCCAGCUUUCUCUCCUGUGGAGGUGGCAGCAGGUCCCAGCUGGCCCCAGCUUAUACUCAGGCUGUGGAGGAGGUGUUUAGUUGUUCAGUGGACUACUUUACAGAGACUCCCAUACUGAACAUUACUUUCACUAACUCCGUAAGAUUUUGAGAUCAUUUUCAGCAAAUUCUGGAUUUGGGCUGACAUUCACAAUUCCUUCCUUGCACUGCAUAUAAUGUAAUGAUACUCUGGUAAACGUAUUAUUCUUUUCACCUGGCCAUAUUUCCUUUCCAAACCAAUCAUAUAACAGAAAUCAUUUCAGCUUUCUAGAUUAUUGCCUGACAAAACUGUGGUGGCCAUCUGAAGAAAAUUGACAUUACAGCUUCUCUCUAGUUUGGAUUUCUUUUUUUUUUCUUCUUUUUUUUUUUCUUUUCUUCUUUUUCCUUUUCUUUUUUUUUUCCCCCCCCUUUGGUUUGGAUGCUCUCUGAAAUGCCAAGCAAAAUUGCAUUAUCAGCUGCACCACAGUACAUACAUUGUUGUUCCCAAAGGUUUACUUAUAACGUUCACAGUACCAUUUAUUUUUUUUUCCUUUCCCCCCAUUGUCAUUUCUGUACAGAUUUAAUACAACAGAAACAUGGCUUCCACUGGGAGCUACAGGUAGAGCAGUUCCAAAGUUCUCUAUAAUUGGUGCCUGCCAUGGCUGCUCACAGUAAGUUAUGUAAAUCACAGCAAGGACCCACAACCCCUAAAGGCAUGAAUAUUUUUUUCAUUCAGUGCAGAGAAUAACUACAGAAUCUUAGUAAUAGUCCCCUCCACAUCAGGGAUCUCCUUACCAGACAGAGUCAAGGUCUAGAAACUGGCCAUGUCAAUUCUGCAAUUUAAAUCCUGCUGUUAAAGAUGGUUUGGUAGGUAUUACAGUAGGUCAAGGCAUUGUAGGCAAUAUUAAUUUUUAGGAUGAGCUUUCCCUUCUUAGCUCUUAGAAACCCACCUGUUUCUGUUUACAUACAUUGUAGUAACUCCAGCAGACCUCAGAUUUGAUUUUUUUUUUCCCCUAUAAAAACUCUUUAAUUUAAAAUGAAAUGAGAGGCUGUCAGGGUUUCAUUCUGAAAAUGAAGGAAUAACUCCACUGAUUUCUCUUGCAUUAACUAUAUUUUCUAUCAAGGUAUUUUAGUCAAAAUCGUUCCUUCCUAGCGAUGAUAAGCAAGGUUACUAUUAAAUCCAUUUCUUUUAAAAUACUACUACCAGCAUGAGAAUUUUCAGACUAAAUAUGAUGUCAACUCCUGUGCUCUUUUCAUUUUUAAUUUCUCCCACAAAUCUUGCAUUUAUGGUUCAUACACGGCAGUUUAUGUACUAUUUGUUAGGUAACUGAAUGGAUCCUUAAGACACAAUAAAAGUCUACUAUUAUUGGGAAAAGAAGAUUUC
RNAcentral lists this long non-coding RNA (3863 nucleotides) under Anser cygnoides (Swan goose). RNAcentral describes it as "lncRNA (ENSACDG00005018079.1)". Lineage: Eukaryota; Metazoa; Chordata; Aves; Anseriformes; Anatidae. The record is from RNAcentral.